UACGCUGGCGGCACGCCUAACAAUGCAAGUCGAACGAAGUAGCAAUACUUAGUGGCAGACGGGUGAGUAACAUGUAGGUAUCUACCCUUUGGCCUGGAAUAACACGAGGAAACUUGUGCUAAUACCGGAUAAGUCUUUACGGAGAAAGCUUUAUGCACCAUUGGAUGAGCCUGCACUUGAUUAGUUUGUUGGUGGGGUAAUGGCCUACCAAGACUGUGAUCAAUAGCUGAUUUGAGAGGAUGAUCAGCCACAUUGGGACUGAGACACGGCCCAAACUCCUACGGGAGGCAGCAGUGGGGAAUCUUGCACAAUGGAGGAAACUCUGAUGCAGCGAUGCCGCGUGAGUGAAGAAGGCCCUUGGGUUGUAAAGCUCUUUCGUCGGGGAAGAAAAUG
This 393-nucleotide ribosomal RNA is filed under the name uncultured bacterium. RNAcentral's name for it is "bacterial SSU rRNA". It matches the Rfam family "Bacterial small subunit ribosomal RNA", at positions 33 to 453 of the family's 1533-position model. The record is from RNAcentral.